UUCCGGUUGAUCCCGCCGGACCCCACUGCUAUCGAGGUGGGACUAAGCAAUGCUAGUCGAACGACCCGAACUAUGUCGGGAAGUGGCACACGGCUCAGUAACACGUAGCUAACCUAACCUAAGGACGGAGAAAACCUCGGGAAACUGGGGUUAAUAACCGAUAGGUAUGAUGUCCUGGAAUGGUAUCAUGCCCAAAGGUGUUCACAGCAUGUUGUAAACAUGCCUUAGGAUGGGGCUGCGGCUGAUCAGGCUGUUGGCGAGGUAAUGGCUCACCAAACCUUUGACCAGUACGGGCCAUGAGAGUGGUAGCCCGGAGAUGGACACUGAGACAAGGGUCCAGGUUCUACGGAACGCAGCAUGCGCGAAACCUCCUCAAUGCACUCAAGUGCGAAGGGGUUACCUCGAGUGCCACCUGAUGAAGGUGGCUUUUGUAUAGUAUAACACGCUAUUCGAAUAAGAGGGGGGCAAGACUGGUGUCAGCCGCCGCGGUAACACCAGCCCCUCGAGUGGUGGGGAUGAUUAUUUGGCCUAAAGCGUCCGUAGCCGGCCAUGUAAGUCUCCCGUUAAAUCCAGCGUCUCAAGCGUUGGACUGCGGGAGAUACUACAAGGCUAGAGGGUGGGAGAGGUAUGCGGUAUUCUGGGGGUAGGGGCGAAAUCCUUUGAUCCCCGGAGGACCACCAGUGGCGAAGGCUGCAUACUAGAACACGCCUGACGGUCAGGGACGAAAGCUGGGGUAGCGAACCGGAUUAGAUACCCGGGUAGUCACAGCCGUAAACGAUGCACGCUAGGUGUUGGGUCGGCCACGAGCCGCCCCAGUGCCGCAGGGAAGCCGAUAAGCGUGCCGCCUGGGGAGUACGGCCGCAAGGCUGAAACUUAAAGGAAUUGGCGGGGGAGCACCACCAGGCGUGAAGCCUGCGGUUUAAUUGGAUUCAACGCCGGA
Molecule: ribosomal RNA, 940 nt
Filed under: uncultured archaeon
Lineage: Archaea
Description: bacterial SSU rRNA
Rfam family: Archaeal small subunit ribosomal RNA
Source: RNAcentral